UUUAAAUAUUAGCAUUAAUCUUUUUUCCUCUAUUUAUUAGUUCAGGAAUCCAACUAAUGGUCAGAGAGAAAUGGAAGUUAUGACCACUGCAGAAGAUUAUGGUUUCAAUAUUUUGCUCUGCCAAAUUCCAGAAAGCAGCUAUUUUAUUGAUGGCAACACUACAAACCGCUUUAGGGUGAGACAACAUGCAGUUUCAGUUGUAUUCUUAAUGGCCUUUUAUGUCUGAAGACUUUGCAAACACUACAGAAACCACUUAAAGCAAAGAUGUGACUUUCAGA
This is a long non-coding RNA of Lepidothrix coronata (blue-crowned manakin), 278 nucleotides long. RefSeq lists it as uncharacterized. The record is from RefSeq and is a predicted model, not a curated record. NCBI's taxonomy places the organism in Eukaryota, Metazoa, Chordata, Aves, Passeriformes, Pipridae. The transcript is spliced from 3 exons.